GUCAACAUGGUGUAGUCGGUUAUCACAUGUCUCACACACAGAAGAUCCGCAGUUCGAAUCUGCGUGUUGACA
RNAcentral lists this transfer RNA (72 nucleotides) under Allomyces macrogynus ATCC 38327. RNAcentral's name for it is "tRNA-Val (CAC) (tRNA-Val-CAC-24-1)". It matches the Rfam family "tRNA". Rfam says of the family: Transfer RNA (tRNA) molecules are approximately 80 nucleotides in length. Lineage: Eukaryota; Fungi; Blastocladiomycota; Blastocladiomycetes; Blastocladiales; Blastocladiaceae. The record is from RNAcentral.